This 499-nucleotide ribosomal RNA is filed under the name uncultured bacterium. RNAcentral describes it as "partial 16S ribosomal RNA". It matches the Rfam family "Bacterial small subunit ribosomal RNA", at positions 29 to 508 of the family's 1533-position model. The record is from RNAcentral.
AGCGAACGCUGGCGGCGUGCCUAACACAUGCAAGUCGAACGUGAAAAGGGAAACCUGAGUAAAGUGGCGUACGGGUGAGUAACGCGUAGGUAAUCUACCCCAGAAUCUGGAAUAACCUGCCGAAAGGCGGGCUAAUACUGGAUAGAGCGAGGGAACUCGUAAGAGAGUUUUUCGGGAAAGGGAGCCCGCAAGGGCCGUCGUUCUGGGAUGAGCCUGCGUCUCAUUAGCUAGUUGGUAAGGUAACGGCUUACCAAGGCGAUGAUGAGUAGCUGGUCUGAGAGGAUGAGCAGCCACACUGGAACUGAAACACGGUCCAGACUCCUACGGGAGGCAGCAGUGGGGAAUCUUGCGGAAUGGAGGAAAGUCUGACGCAGCCACGCCGCGUGAGUGAAGAAGGCCUGCGGGUUGUAAAGCUCUGUCGGAUGGGACGAACAUCUUCAUAGUGAAUAGCUAUGAGGACUGACGGUACCAUCAAAGGAAGCACCGGCUAACUCCGUGC